Molecule: ribosomal RNA, 396 nt
Filed under: Nelima similis
Lineage: Eukaryota; Metazoa; Arthropoda; Arachnida; Opiliones; Sclerosomatidae
Description: 12S ribosomal RNA
Rfam family: Microsporidia small subunit ribosomal RNA
Source: RNAcentral
GGAAUAUAUUUAAAAUUAAAGAAUUUGGCGGUGUUUUACCCUUAUAGAGGAACUUGUCCUUUUGUCGAUAGUCCCCGUUAAAUCUAACCUUAUUUAAGGUUUAUAUACCGUUGUUGUCAGAUUACUUAUUUGAUAGUUAUUUAGUUUUCUAAAAAGUUUUGUAUUUUAUUACUUCAAAUCAAGGUGUAGUGUAUAGUAAGGGUUGAGAUGAGUUACUUUUAGUAAGAGAUUAGAUACUUAGUGUAAUACUAAGUUGAAAUAGGAUUUAUUAGUAAAUUUUUAUUAAUAUGGAAAGUUGAAUAGGGCUCUAGAACAUGUACAUAUCGCCCGUCACUCUAAUUUUAAUAUUAGAUAAGUCGUAACAAAGUAGGUGUAAGGGAACUUGCCCCUAGAUGC